AAUAUAUUACAAAAUCCCGCGAUAGGACAGAUUAUCUCGCGAGAUAGUGGUCACGUCACGCGUUCUUCCGGAAGUUCACAUUCAAACACGAGGAGCGAUUACGAGGGAGUUUUGUCUAUAUAUUAUGCAAAAUCUACUGUUGGGAAAAGCAGAACCUCGUCCAAAUAAAAAUAAACAAACUGUUAAAGGCACUGUGUCCUACACAGACCCUCCAAAAUAUAACCACCCAAAACCCAAGUCAGUUGAAGAUCAACACAAACCAAAUAAAGAUGUUGCACAUUCUACAAACAAUAACAAAAGAUCAAGUUUUGUGUCAAACACACUUAGAUGAGGCGUGCCCGACCCCUGACUUUGUCUACCCUACAUUAAGUUGCACACUUCAUGACAGUAAACAUCGGUAUCAAGAUGGUGUGAUUGAUCUAUACCCUGGCCUAGAAUAAGCUGUGACACUAUGAGACGGUCACAUAAUGAACAGGCAUCUUACAGACAACCGAAAGAGGCAUACGUAUUCUCUACAAUCCCAAAUUCUGGAUUGACGCCCCAGUACCAGAGGGCACCCCAAUCCCAGAGAGCAUCCAUCUGAAAGCAGGUGAGGUAACACAACGAAAAAAUAACAGGAUGGAGACUACCUGAUUCUUCACCUAUGGCCUCAGCUUCAAAUGCAAGAAGCAAGAAAUGCUAUAUGACUGUGUAUUUUGCAUUAUGAAUGCAUUAUGAAUACAUCAAAGAUGUUGAUAACAAGUUGAUCUGCGUAAAUUGUGACAUAAAGAAUAUGUAUAUAUAUUUCCAGCUAUCUUUCUAUAACAUUAUUUCAAUUGUUUUCACAUGUAGGUCCAGCAACUGUCUGCGUUGGUGGAUAUUCUGUCAGAGACUGCGUGAACAAUGUUAUGAGCAGGAUUUAAUCUGUCACACAUUACUUGUCAGAAGUUUUAAUGUUCGUAGUGGUUCAAACAGUCAGCCAUACUGAAAACAAGAAAUCAAAACAUAAUUUCAGUAAUGAUGUCUAAUUGUCUUAUGGCAAAGUUCAAUAUGAGGGGUGGUGGACAUCUGGAAAAGAAGUCUUUUAAAGGCACACCUUUGUAUUAUGUUAUUCAAGAUGCUGUGAAGAGGUGGAGCCCAAAUGCCAGAGACUCAGAAAUAGAUGCAGCUAUGGCAGACCACCUCAAGCACGCUCCAGGAAGAGGGCUGGGGGUUGUGAAUACACUAAAUAAGCCAAACAGCUGUAAUGUGUAAAAGAGAGAGUUCACCCAAAAAUGAAAAUUGUUAUAAUUUUCUUACCCACAUGUUUCAAACCUGUAUACAUUUCUAUUUUCUGCUGAACACAAAGAUUGAAAAAUGUUUGUAACCAAGAUAACUGUCAAUAAUUUUUUUUUACAACUGUAGUAAUGGGUUGUGAGAUCUGCUUUCUGCUUUCUAUUCUUUCAAAUAUCUUUGUGUUCAGCAGAACAUAGAAAAGUAUACAGGUUUGAAACAUAAGAGAGAGUAAAUUACUAAAUAAUCAUUUUUAGGUGAACUAUCCUUUUAUAUAGUAAAGUAUUUUGAAAUUGUUAUUAUAGUUAAACAGUUUAAAAAAAAUAAAAAGUGCUAAAUCAGAACAUGCUUCUUUUUAUUGCUUAUGUCCACAAAUAAUGUGUUCUUUAAUGUGUUUGAAAUACACGUGAUUACAACGUUAUAAAGACGUUCAGGUUUGACUGGACUAAAUUUGUGUAUUUUUAAAACCUUAAUAAUUGCCUAUUACAAUUGUACAAACUAGCCUGUUUUAUAUGCACGUUUUAAGUGAGUAUAACGCCUAAAUUAAGCAGAGACUCAUAUUACCGUCCAGAAGACGACAUUUUUAGACGUGCACGGACCGUGCAGAAAAGACGUGUGAUUCACGGUCAGAUGACGUCAAAGACGUCGGUUGGAUUUUCAUUUUGGAACUAUUUUUCAACCAUGACGGGACGUGACGAACGGACGUCUUUUCAACGGUCAUCACACGUCCAAAUGUUU
Molecule: non-coding RNA, 1989 nt
Organism: Paramisgurnus dabryanus
Lineage: Eukaryota; Metazoa; Chordata; Actinopteri; Cypriniformes; Cobitidae
Source: RefSeq, a predicted model, not a curated record